Molecule: RNase P RNA, 373 nt
Filed under: Bacteroidota bacterium
Lineage: Bacteria; Pseudomonadati; Bacteroidota
Description: Bacteroidetes bacterium RNase P RNA component class A
Rfam family: Bacterial RNase P class A
About the family: Ribonuclease P (RNase P) is a ubiquitous endoribonuclease, found in archaea, bacteria and eukarya as well as chloroplasts and mitochondria. Its best characterised activity is the generation of mature 5'-ends of tRNAs by cleaving the 5'-leader elements of precursor-tRNAs.
Source: RNAcentral
GCAGGAGGUGACUCCAUCGCUGCGACCUGUGUCGCAGAGGAAAGUCCGGACAGCAUAGGGCAUCCUGCUUCCUAACGGGAAGGCGCCAUGAGCGAAAGCUUAUGGUGACAGCCAGUGCCACAGAAAAUAUACCGCCCCGGCUUACGGCCAGGGUAAGGGUGAAAAGGCGGGGUAAGAGCCCACCAGUGGCUGGGUGACCAGCCAGCUUGGUAAACCUCAGGAGCUGAAAGGCCAAAUAUACCGGCGUUUGAAGGUGGCCCGCCUGAUGCCGGAGGGUAGGCCGAAAGAGCUUGCUGGCGACAGCAAGCCCAGAUAAAUGAUGGAGCUCCCCAUGUGGGGAGAACAGAAUCCGGCUUAUGAUCCUCCUGCCAUA